Phrynosoma platyrhinos (Desert horned lizard) is the source of this 71-nucleotide non-coding RNA. NCBI's taxonomy places the organism in Eukaryota, Metazoa, Chordata, Lepidosauria, Squamata, Phrynosomatidae. The record is from the annotation of a GenBank genome assembly.
GCCAGUGUGGUGUAGUGGUUUGACACUGGACUAUGACUCUGCAGGCCAGAGUUCGAAUCUUGGCUUGGCCA